UUUUCUUCCCCAGUUGAGUUCGAGUGCGUGCUUCCCCAAUGGAGUCACUAUCCCCUGCUUGGUUCAGGCAUUUCAUCUUUGUUCUGAUUUACCUGUUUCCCCCCUGCAGAUUAUUCCCUUUACUCCCCGGCUGAGUCUUUCCAUUGAUUUAUUUUCAUGGAAUUCCUCGAGUCCCCCAGCAAUUUUAAGUCGUGGCCUGGCCUACGCACAAC
RNAcentral lists this long non-coding RNA (212 nucleotides) under Lathyrus oleraceus (garden pea). RNAcentral's name for it is "Pisum sativum (pea) long non-coding RNA (PSAT_LNC028933)". The record is from RNAcentral. Lineage: Eukaryota; Viridiplantae; Streptophyta; Magnoliopsida; Fabales; Fabaceae.